Molecule: non-coding RNA, 72 nt
Organism: Candidatus Berkelbacteria bacterium
Lineage: Bacteria; Candidatus Berkelbacteria
Source: Rfam
GGGUCGGUAGUUCAGUGGUAGAACAACGGGCUCUUAACUCGUGUGUCGUGGGUUCGAUCCCCACCCGACCCA